This 647-nucleotide ribosomal RNA is filed under the name uncultured bacterium. Its description in RNAcentral is "bacterial SSU rRNA". It matches the Rfam family "Bacterial small subunit ribosomal RNA", at positions 140 to 805 of the family's 1533-position model. The record is from RNAcentral.
GGGAUAACAGCUGGAAACGGCUGCUAAUACCGCAUAAGCGCACGAGGAGACAUCUCCUAGUGUGAAAAACUCCGGUGGUACAGGAUGGGCCCGCGUCUGAUUAGCUGGUUGGCAGGGUAACGGCCUACCAAGGCAACGAUCAGUAGCCGGUCUGAGAGGAUGAACGGCCACAUUGGAACUGAGACACGGUCCAAACUCCUACGGGAGGCAGCAGUGGGGAAUAUUGCACAAUGGGGGAAACCCUGAUGCAGCAACGCCGCGUGAGUGAAGAAGUAUUUCGGUAUGUAAAGCUCUAUCAGCAGGGAAGAUAAUGACGGUACCUGAUUAAGAAGCUCCGGCUAAAUACGUGCCAGCAGCCGCGGUAAUACGUAUGGAGCAAGCGUUAUCCGGAUUUACUGGGUGUAAAGGGUGCGUAGGUGGCAGUGCAAGUCAGAUGUGAAAGGCCGGGGCUCAACCCCGGAGCUGCAUUUGAAACUGCUCGGCUAGAGUACAGGAGAGGCAGGCGGAAUUCCUAGUGUAGCGGUGAAAUGCGUAGAUAUUAGGAGGAACACCAGUGGCGAAGGCGGCCUGCUGGACUGUUACUGACACUGAGGCACGAAAGCGUGGGGAGCAAACAGGAUUAGAUACCCUGGUAGUCCACGCCGUAA